Molecule: long non-coding RNA, 3730 nt
Filed under: Taeniopygia guttata (zebra finch)
Lineage: Eukaryota; Metazoa; Chordata; Aves; Passeriformes; Estrildidae
Description: lncRNA (ENSTGUG00000022045.1)
Source: RNAcentral
AAUUCCCAGGAAAUCAUAAUCAUCCAUUGGGAAACCCUCCUGGUUUUCCUCUUCCAGACACAGGCAGGGAUUUCAGCCGCCAAAGAAGCCUUUGAGCAGCCCCAGGGGUGAUGGGAGAUAAAAAUCAUCCUGAAAAACAGCUGGGAGACAAAAAUCAUCCUGAAAACCAGCUGGGAAACGUGUCAGGGAAUGAUCCAAUCCCAUUGGGGAAGAACUGAUUUCCGUGGAUAAACAGGAAUAUCAAAGGGUGCAGCACAGGACCUUGCUCAGCUCUGGGGGAUCCAGGAGGCAGCAGAAAUGUUUGUCAGGCUUGGGGCAGCAGCAGAACCCGCACAGCGCUCCAGAAAAGUGGGAAAGGAGCAAAAUCCACAUGGGAAAACAUCGGGAAGAGGAUUUGUGCUAUCAUUCCCUGAGGGAUCAGGGGAGCUUCGCUCUGAGCAGCAGCACAGGGGAUGUGGUGCUUUGGGAACACCUCCAGGAGGGGAAAAUCCCACUGCUGGGAUUGGAUAAUUCACUCCAGAAUCCCAAAUCCAGGCUGGAAGGGGCAGGGUGGGCUGGUUCCUGACAUCCCUGUGGAAUUGCUAUUUCGGGAAGGACAAAGGGGAGGGAAGCAUGAGAGCAGCACAAGGGGCUGUGGUGCCUCAGGAGCACAUCCAGGAGGGGCAAAUCCCAGUCUGGGGUUGGAUAAUUCAGUCCAGAAUCCCAAAUCCAGGCUGGAAGGGCUGGUUCCUGGCAUCCCUCAGGAAGAGCUAUUUCGGGAAGGACAAAGGGGAGCAGAUGGGCAGCAGCAACAGCCACCAGGCCUGGGGAGAGCAGCUCCGAGGAGGCCAUCUGUGCUCCAGCAUCCCAAAAAUCCCUCCCAGCCCUCCUGAUGCCUUGGGAGGAGCUCAGGAAAAGCAGGAGAGGGAGGCUCCAGCCACAGGGUCCGCUAGAAAUCGCUCUCUGAGGAAAAGAGGGAUUUUCUUCUGAAGGAAAACUGCUCAGGUCAGUCCCACCCCACCCAGUGCUUGGGAUGGGAACAGGGACAGGAGGAAAACCGGGAGCACGGAGGAGUCUCUGGGGCUUGACUGGGACAGGCCAACCAUGAAAUUCCUGACGGUGUUUGCAGGGUUAAUUAAGGAAGAUCAGAGAUUGCAGGCAGGAGAGGAACACAUUCCCAGCAAGGCAGGGGGUUUCCAGCUAGGAAGAACAUUUAGUGGGGAGAGAUGGAUGUGACACGAGGAGAUUGGGAUCUCCAGGGCUCUGAGGACACCACAACCCCAGGGACAGGGAGGUCACCCCUGCCCCACCCCACACCUUGGGAGACGAAUCUGAGGCUGCAGAGACAGCCCUGAGCAAUCCCACAAAUUCCAGCAUUCCCUGCAUUCCUUUCACACCUUCUGUGAGGUAUUUCUGCCCUGGAAUUCACUGGGGCCCGAUUCCCAAAAUUCAGAUUCCAACAAAUCUGGCCAUUGGUGCUUGGAGCCCUGAGCCCCUUCACUUGGAGGGAGGAAGAGCUUCUCUUCCUCAGGGAUCCAGGGAAAUUCCCUUCAGGAAUGCCCAGGAAAUGCCUCCAAAAGUGGGAUUUCAGUGGUUAGAGCCCUUCCCUUGGAGGCAGGGAAAGCUCCUCUUCCUCAGGGAUUCAGGGAAGCUCAUGCCUGCCCAAGGGAUGCUCCCAAAAAUGGGAUUUCAGUGCUUGAACCCCACACAAAUCUCUUCGUUUCCCAUGGCACACCUGCAGAAGGAAGUCUGGGAAGUUCCUGAGGAUGAGAAGGAAUUUCUGGACCACCCACAGGGAUGAGAGGCAAAGACUCCUGAAAAUAAUCACUGAUUGAACAACAAGUAUUUUCAUCUGUGAAUCAACAGUGUGUGUGUGUUGGGAAAAUGGGGAAAGAGCAGCAGAGAUCCUGGUGAAGGAGAAAUUUUGGAGUCUGAUCCAUUCCGCUCCUGUGAUUACAAAUGAACUCAAUCGUCUGAACCUAAAAGAGCCAAUUUAAACUCCUCUUAGAUUAAAAAAAGAGAAUUCUCUGACAGAGAACCUGGAAAUAUCGACAGAAAAGCAAAAUGUGUGGUUGCAACUAAUUUAGAUAUUGAACAACCCACCGAGUUCACAUCUCCUGGUUUCCCACAGGAAUGGGAAAAAUGGAAUGGGAGAGAUUGUGGUGAUUUCCUCAUGUGACCAAGGAACUUCUUCAUCCAUGGGGAAAAUCUGGCCUUUGUUAAUAUCUGGGAAUUUUUUCCUCGUUCGCUCCUGUUUGGAUGUGGAAUUCUGAUUGCUGCAGGAGUUUGGAGGGCAGCAGGUGGGGUUUGCUGCUGUCUCUUCGGGGUGGAUUUUCUUGACCCCAAACACCUCAAACCCAAAAUUUGUCCCGUUCCCGAGUGGAAAAGAGGAGAGGGAUCCUCUCCCGCUGGGAUGGCUGUUGGGACAGAUGGGCUGGGUCACCCUCCAGCAGCUCCUGAUUUCCUGGGAGGCCUGGACAGGUGCCCAACCUUUAGACCAUGAAAUGAGGGAAAAUGAAUUCCCUUCUCAUGUGAAAAAAAUCCAAACCCAAAACGUGAAGAUGUAUAAGCUUUAAGCAGGGUUUUAAACCCUGCAGAAUUCCCCUCUCCAGGGGAUCCCCUGUUUUCCAGCACCUUUCCUUUGGGAAGAUUUUAUCAGGAAAGCAGAGGAUGGAUUCAGGCUCCUCAUUCCCCAAAUCCAGGCUGCUUUUGGGACACCACAAUCCCUGUUUUUCUUUUCUCCUCCUGCUUUCUCUUUCAUGUGGAUUUGCAGGAGUACCAGAAGCAGAGGGGAAACCUGUGAGAUUAUUGGAAUUGCCACCUUUGCUCUACUAAUCCUGACAAUUAAAACCAUCUCUAAGCCAUUUCUCUGGCAUUUUCCUAGGAGAAAACAUACCCAAAAAAUCACUUUUCCCACCUGGAAGAGUGUCCAACCGGGCCACAUUUACAUUUCAGGUAUCUGGAGCAUAGGAGAAAACCUUAGGAUUGUUGGAAUUGCCUCCUUUGCUCUCCAGUAUCUAUCCAGAUAGCAACAACAAAAAAACAUCUCUAAGCCACUUAUCUGACAUUUUCCUAGGAAAAAAAAACCUACCAAAAAUGUCUUUUUUCCCACCUGGAGGAGCAUCCAACCUGGGCCACAUUUGCACUUCAGGUACAGGGAGGAGAGGAGGAAACCUUGGGAUUAUUGGAAUUCCCUCCAUUGCUCUCAUAACCCUGACAAUUAAAAUCAUCUCUAAGCCACUUUUUCAACAUAUUACUAGGGAAAAAAAAUACAAAAAAUGUCCUUUUCUUCCCACCUGGAAGAGCAGCAACCCAGGAGAUAUCGCAAAGCCCUUGCCAAUAUUCCGGGACAACAGGAACAAUUUGGAUCAGGGAACAUGCAGCCCCUUCCCUAUCCCAUUAAAACCGGGAAUUUUACUUUAUACACUUCUUUUUCUCACAGACUGAAGGAACAUCUCCCGAAAGACUUCCCAAGCCACCUGAGAGCUUUUGGGAAUGCUCCUGCUCCAUGGUCUGCUCCAUGUCCUGCUACUGUCCCCAGGAGCCAUUCCCGGUGACAAUGACACUGAGCCACCACCACUCAGCAUCCCCACAUUCCCUGCUCCCUGGUUCACACCCCCUGGAAUAUUUGGUCCCCAAAACAGGAAGGGAGGGCUGAGAUCAUUCCCAAACACACCAAGGAAGGGGGAAAACCAAACUAUUCCUCAGAUGGAAAUUUUCUUUUUUCCGCUGGCUUGUUUUUUUUCAAGUA